Molecule: transfer RNA, 72 nt
Rfam family: tRNA
About the family: Transfer RNA (tRNA) molecules are approximately 80 nucleotides in length.
Source: Rfam
GCCCUGUUAGAUCAAUAGUAGAUCGCCGCUCUCCUAAAGCGGAGGUUCCGGGUGCAAGUCCCGGGCAGGGUC